Molecule: ribosomal RNA, 444 nt
Filed under: uncultured bacterium
Lineage: Bacteria
Description: partial 16S ribosomal RNA
Rfam family: Bacterial small subunit ribosomal RNA
Source: RNAcentral
CCUACGGGAGGCAGCAGUGGGGAAUAUUUGGCAAUGGAGGAAACUCUGACCCAGCAAUGCCGCGUGAAUGAAGAAGGUCUUCGGAUUGUAAAGUUCUUUAGUCAGGGAAGAAGUAAAUGACGGUACCUGAAGAAUAAGCUCUGGCUAACUACGUGCCAGCAGCCGCGGUAAUACGUAGGGAGCAAGCGUUUCUCGGAAUGACUGGGCGUAAAGGGUGCGUAGGCGGUUGUACAAGUUAUAAGGGAAAUACCCAGGGCUUAACUCGGGUGCUGCUUCUAAAACUGUAUGACUUGAGUGCGGGAGAAGUUAGUGGAAUUCCUAGUGUAGCGGUGGAAUGCGUAGAUAUUAGGAGGAACACCAGAGGCGAAGGCGGCUAACUGGACUGCAACUGACGCUGAGGCACGAAAGUGUGGGUAGCGAACAGGAUUAGAUACCCCUGUAGUC